RNAcentral lists this ribosomal RNA (506 nucleotides) under uncultured bacterium. RNAcentral's name for it is "partial 16S ribosomal RNA". It matches the Rfam family "Bacterial small subunit ribosomal RNA", at positions 29 to 523 of the family's 1533-position model. The record is from RNAcentral.
AUUGAACGCUGGCGGCAGGCCUAACACAUGCAAGUCGAACGGUAGCACAGAGGAGCUUGCUCCUCGGGUGACGAGUGGCGGACGGGUGAGUAAUGUCUGGGGAUCUGCCCGAUAGAGGGGGAUAACCACUGGAAACGGUGGCCAAUACCGCAUAACGUCGCAAGACCAAAGAGGGGGACCUUCGGGCCUCUCACUAUCGGAUGAACCCAGAUGGGAUUAGCUAGUAGGCGGGGUAACGGCCCACCUAGGCGACGAUCCCUAGCUGGUCUGAGAGGAUGACCAGCCACACUGGAACUGAGACACGGUCCAGACUCCUACGGGAGGCAGCAGUGGGGAAUAUUGCACAAUGGGCGCAAGCCUGAUGCAGCCAUGCCGCGUGUAUGAAGAAGGCCUUCGGGUUGUAAAGUACUUUCAGCGGGGAGGAAGGCGAUGUGGUUAAUAACCGCAUUGAUUGACGUUACCCGCAGAAGAAGCACCGGCUAACUCCGUGCCAACCGCCGCCGUAA